AGAGUUUGAUCCUGGCUCAGGACGAACGCUGGCGGCGUGCCUAAUACAUGCAAGUCGAACGCUUCUUUUCUACCGAGUGCUUGCACUCACUUGAAAAGAGGAGUGGCGGACGGGUGAGUAACACGUGGGUAACCUACCCAUCAGAGGGGGAUAACACUUGGAAACAGGUGCUAAUACCGCAUAAUAGUCGACAUCGCAUGGUGUUGAUUUGAAAGACGCUUUCGGGUGUCACUGAUGGAUGGACCCGCGGUGCAUUAGCUAGUUGGUGAGGUAACGGCUCACCAAGGCCAUGAUGCAUAGCCGACCUGAGAGGGUGAUCGGCCACACUGGGACUGAGACACGGCCCAGACUCCUACGGGAGGCAGCAGUAGGGAAUCUUCGGCAAUGGACGAAAGUCUGACCGAGCAACGCCGCGUGAGUGAAGAAGGUUUUCGGAUCGUAAAACUCUGUUGUUAGAGAAGAACAAGUAGGAGAGUAACUGCUCUUACCUUGACGGUAUCUAACCAGAAAGCCACGGCUAACUACGUGCCAGCAGCCGCGGUAAUACGUAGGUGGGCAAGCGUUGUCCGGAUUUAUUGGGCGUAAAGCGAGCGCAGCGGUUUCUUAAGUCUGAUGUGAAAGCUCUCGGCUCACCCGGGGAGGGUCAUUGGAAACUGGGAGACUUGGGUGCAGAGAAGGAGAGUGAAUUUCAUGGUGGUAGCGGUGAAAUGCGUA
RNAcentral lists this ribosomal RNA (714 nucleotides) under uncultured bacterium. RNAcentral's name for it is "bacterial SSU rRNA". It matches the Rfam family "Bacterial small subunit ribosomal RNA", at positions 8 to 692 of the family's 1533-position model. The record is from RNAcentral.